This 919-nucleotide ribosomal RNA is filed under the name uncultured Bacillota bacterium. RNAcentral describes it as "bacterial SSU rRNA". It matches the Rfam family "Bacterial small subunit ribosomal RNA", at positions 1 to 917 of the family's 1533-position model. Lineage: Bacteria; Bacillati; Bacillota. The record is from RNAcentral.
UGGAUCCAGACUUUGAUUAUGGCUCAGGACGAACGCUGGCGGCGUGCCUAACACAUGCAAGUCGAGCGGGGAUCGCCAGAGGAAGCCUUCGGGUGGAAUUGGGUGAUUCUAGCGGCGGACGGGUGAGUAACGCGUGAGCAAUCUGCCUUUCACAGGGGGAUAACACACCGAAAGGUGUACUAAUACCGCAUGAGACCACAGUGGGGACAUCCCAUAGGGGUCAAAGGAGAAAUCCGGUGAAAGAUGAGCUCGCGUCUGAUUAGCUGGUUGGUGAGGUAACGGCCCACCAAGGCGACGAUCAGUAGCCGACCUGAGAGGGUGAUCGGCCACAUCGGAACUGAGAGACGGUCCAAACUCCUACGGGAGGCAGCAGUGGGGAAUAUUGGGCAAUGGGGGAAACCCUGACCCAGCAACGCCGCGUGAAGGAAGAAGGUUUUCGGAUCGUAAACUUCUAUCCUUGGUGAAAAUGAUGAUGGUAGCCAAGAAGGAAGCCCCGGCUAACUACGUGCCAGCAGCCGCGGUAAUACGUAGGGGGCAAGCGUUGUCCGGAAUGAUUGGGCGUAAAGGGCGCGUAGGCGGCCUUUUAAGUCUGAAGUGAAAGUCCUGCUUUUAAGGUGGGAACUGCUUUGGAUACUGGAAGGCUUGAGUGCAGGAGAGGUAAGCGGAAUUCCCGGUGUAGCGGUGAAAUGCGUAGAGAUCGGGAGGAACACCAGUGGCGAAGGCGGCUUACUGGACUGUUACUGACGCUGAGGCGCGAAAGUGUGGGGAGCAAACAGGAUUAGAUACCCUGGUAGUCCACACUGUAAACGAUGAAUGCUAGGUGUAGGGGGUAUCGACCCCUUCUGUGCCGGAGUCAACACAAUAAGCAUUCCGCCUGGGGAGUACGGCCGCAAGGUUGCAACUCAAAUGAAUUGACGGA